Molecule: ribosomal RNA, 464 nt
Filed under: uncultured bacterium
Lineage: Bacteria
Description: bacterial SSU rRNA
Rfam family: Bacterial small subunit ribosomal RNA
Source: RNAcentral
ACCCAGACUCCUACGGGAGGCAGCAGUGGGGAAUAUUGCACAAUGGGGGGAACCCUGAUGCAGCGACGCCGCGUGGGUGAAGGAGCACCUCGGUGCGUAAAGCCCUAUCGGCAGGGAAGAAAAGCGAACAGGUUCGCCUGGACGGUACCUGACUAAGAAGCCCCGGCUAACUACGUGCCAGCAGCCGCGGUAAUACGUAGGGGGCAAGCGUUAUCCGGAUUCACUGGGUGUAAAGGGGGCGCAGACGGCAAUGCAAGCCAGGAGUGAAAGCCCGGGGCCCAACCCCGGGACUGCUCUUGGAACUGCAUGGCUGGAGUACAGGAGGGGCAGGCGGAAUUCCUAGUGUAGCGGUGAAAUGCGUAGAUAUUAGGAGGAACACCAGUGGCGAAGGCGGCUUUCUGGACGACAACUGACGCUGAGGCGCGAAAGUGUGGGGAGCAAACAGGAUUAGAUACCCGUGUACC